This 21-nucleotide transfer RNA is filed under the name Scaphiophryne boribory. Its description in RNAcentral is "partial tRNA-Phe". Lineage: Eukaryota; Metazoa; Chordata; Amphibia; Anura; Microhylidae. The record is from RNAcentral.
CCCUAAAAAGUUCUGCAGGCA